GCAUGUGUGGCAAAAUAAGGUUGCUCAAUUGCAUCAAAUCACUUUCAGCAGAGAAACAUUUCUCUAUUGUUCUUGGGGUUGUCAAACAUUCCCAUACAUUUUUCUUCACUUGAAUGUGAUAAGACAUAGAAAAAAUGGCAAAGAAUUAAUUAUCAUUUUGACAAAAUUAUUUGCUAGUCAUGAUAUAUCGGCACAAAUAACUACAAUAAUUUUCAUGGUUGCAACGAUAUUUGACAAUGUGUGGUGUCAAAUUUCACUGCGUCAGGCCCGCUAGUAGUUUCUACUUAAUUAUCUCCUUUUCUCUCCCACUCCAAGCACCGAACAUUAGCAUCAGGCUUUCUACGUGCAAUGUAAAUUACUUGUUGGCUGGGUGCAAUAUUUAAUUUAAAGGAACUAUCAUUUGCAUAAAGGAUUAUAAAGCUCUCGUAAGCUAUUUCUACCCAAGGACUAAGUCAUAACCAACAGAUUCUUAUCAAUUAUCUGUCCGUGUACCAACGACUUCAUGUCACUGCCUACUUCCUAGGUCUUGUCUUUUAUAAGAGCUAGGCCACGCUAAGCCAAAGAUGAAUGAUAAACGUAUCAUUUCCUUCUCUUCCUUAGAAUUUGCAGACCCAUUUCAUCGAUGAUUUUGUUCUAUCCCUACAAAUUAGAGAGUGAAACAUUAUUGGUAUAGGCAUGGGAGGCACCAGGAAUCCUCCUUAGUGUUCCGCAGAGAGAUCUUGUACAUUGUUUGUCCUAGCUUN
Molecule: long non-coding RNA, 743 nt
Filed under: Hordeum vulgare
Lineage: Eukaryota; Viridiplantae; Streptophyta; Magnoliopsida; Poales; Poaceae
Description: long non-coding RNA (HVUL_LNC017513)
Source: RNAcentral